GACGAACGCUGGCGGCGUGCUUAACACAUGCCAGUCGAACGAAGAGCGAUGGAAGCUUGCUUCUAUCAAUCUUAGUGGCGAACGGGUGAGUAACGCGUAAUCAACCUGCCCUUCAGAGGGGGACAACAGUUGGAAACGACUGCUAAUACCGCAUACGAUCUAAUCUCGGCAUCGAGGAUAGAUGAAAGGUGGCCUCUACAUGUAAGCUAUCACUGAAGGAGGGGAUUGCGUCUGAUUAGCUAGUUGGAGGGGUAACGGCCCACCAAGGCGAUGAUCAGUAGCCGGUCUGAGAGGAUGAACGGCCACAUUGGGACUGAGACACGGCCCAGACUCCUACGGGAGGCAGCAGUGGGGAAUCUUCCGCAAUGGACGAAAGUCUGACGGAGCAACGCCGCGUGAGUGAUGACGGCCUUCGGGUUGUAAAGCUCUGUUAAUCGGGACGAAAGGCCUUCUUGCGAAUAGUGAGAAGGAUUGACGGUACCGGAAUAGAAAGCCACGGCUAACUACGUG
This 510-nucleotide ribosomal RNA is filed under the name uncultured bacterium. Its description in RNAcentral is "partial 16S ribosomal RNA". It matches the Rfam family "Bacterial small subunit ribosomal RNA", at positions 28 to 507 of the family's 1533-position model. The record is from RNAcentral.